Molecule: long non-coding RNA, 3098 nt
Organism: Pomacea canaliculata
Lineage: Eukaryota; Metazoa; Mollusca; Gastropoda; Architaenioglossa; Ampullariidae
Exons: 10
Source: RefSeq, a predicted model, not a curated record
CCUGCGGCGCACAGCAUCAUUUGUGCAGGAGGCAGGCGUGUCCAUUUGAGUGAACGACGAAGAAGAAGAAGAAGCUUUAGUAGCUCAAGUAUUUGUUAAAAAAAUCUGCUAGUAUGUCUUGCACUCAAUCUUCUAGCCUGAUGGGGAUGAGAGACCUCUCAGAGUGAAUGCAAUAAAACGGAUCAAUGGUUCAAUUAAUGAUCUUUACAGAAGGAUUUCUAGGUCUCGUCCCUCAGUGUUCGAAGCGAGUGAAUCUGAGAACAGUAAGACACCUUCCACAGUGAUCUGUAGAUGAUUUAACAAAUAUAAAGUACUGCUGAGACCUAGCUCAAUUGAUAGAAAGGAAAAGUCUUGUGUAUUCAAGAGUAUUCUAACCUCAAAUCAUAAGCUAGCCUUCGUUCCAAAGUCUCGAUCAUUCGUCAUGCAACGAGAAGGGGGAAAUGGCAACUAGUCAACAAACAUCGAAAGAAUUCAUGCUGCUUUUUCUAUUAUUCAUUUCCAUGAGAUGCGCACCAUCUUCUCAAAAAGACUGCACGUCUUUCAAUGCCGCAGAUUACAUUGGCCAGGAUACCGAAGGACGACACAUCUCAUAUGGCGACUGCUCGUUCAAGAACACGUUUUGUUACUACACACAAGCUUGUACCAGCGGUGAUGCUAACAAAUGGACUACAACAAACGGCGGCGCCGUGUGUCCUGGGAAAACCGGACUGUUCGACUCUUUUUCCGUCCUCCUGUCACCUUUGUUGACUAUCACACAAAAUACAUCUCUUGUCUUCAACUUUUCUCAGACCACGCCAGGGACGCUCAGUGUGUUUAUAGUAACAUUUACAGAGAUAACUGUAAAGCUUGAAGAAGUUGUAUCUGAUGGGUCUUUCCAUAAAGAGGUGAACAUCGAGCCAGCAGUCCUUAAGAUCGGCUUCAGAGCCCGGACAGCAAACACUGGCAAGAACGUGACUCUGAUUUACGUGAAGCUUCAAACAGAAACCUACACAUCUAGUACAACACCAUUGAGCACAAGUGACAAAUCACUCACCACCACGACUAUCACAAACUCGUCGCACGUCACUGACAACCUCCUCGACUGGCAGCACUCGUGGCACGUCACUGACAGCCUCCUCGACUGGCAGUACUCAUGACAUGUCACUCACGACCUCCUUGGCUGAAGCAGGAGCGACAAGUGGAAGUAACGUCGGUGUAAUUGUAGGUGUUGUCGUAGCUGUGGUUGUUGUGGUUGUUGCUGCCGUCGUAUUUGGAUUUUUUAUUUGGAGACGCCGCCAACAGCGAGAGAAUCGUAGAGGUGGACAGAAGGCUGUGAAAGGCGGCGAGAACUCAUACCAGAAUGCAGACACAAGGUAUAUAUCGCCAGCCACAACAGGGAUGCCAUCACAAUACAACCUGCCAGCAAAUCACACUGUGAAUUCUGCAAACGCCAGUCACAAACACUACCCCUGGCAUCUCGGGUAUCGGCAGCAGCCAGUACGAUGUUCCACGCAAUGGAAUACCACACGGAUACGCCGUACUCAAAUAUGAGCAGAGUCGUCCUUCUGAACUGACCUGUCCUACCGGUGAUAAUGAACAGGACUGUUACAACAUUAUAGAGGAGGACAGCGACAGGGAUACCUUGUCACAGAGCAAUGUUUACAGUUAUGCCAGGAACGAGGGUCUUAACACAUCAAGUUCCAACAAUCCUGAAGGAAAUUACGACAGGACAGACACACAUGGAGUCGUGUCCGACUGGCAAGGAAAGAGUAGUAGCGCUCCUCCUGACGAUGACUACAACCACAUCGUGUCCACAGACAGACCGAGACAGAAGACUGGUCUGGCAGCGGGGAAGAUGGAGCCUAAUUACUUCCUGGCAAGAGGCAGAGAUGAAAACGACUGUGAUAGAAAGACCACAUAAAUGAAGAUGACGAAUACAGUGUCCUGCGUGACGGCAACAACCAGCUCAGGGAAUUCAACGGUCAGCAAGCCGCCGAGACGUAUGACCACGUGGGAGGUGACGUUCACGGUGACUAUGACAGAAUCCGACAGGGAGAUCGUACCGAUGUCAUCGGCUCUGACUAUGACCACGUGACGUAACCAGGCGAUGAGCUGUAGUAGUGGAUGUGCUUAACGUGGGUAACAGCCUCUAAGUGUUGUUACUAUGACAACACAGUUAAACUUCACCAACAACCUUCAACCAUAGAAGUGCUUUGUUUACUCUAGCCCCAGUUUAACUUGAAUAGUAUCCUGAGAUCAUGUGUAGAAGGUCGACGAUUGAGAAAAACAUCAAUGCAAAUUGUGUAAAGUGUAAACACCUAUACUUGUCACCUCACCUUGCUGACAUACUACAUGACAGUUGUGUAUGAAAUCAACUGAUAUUUUCAUCAAUUUUUGAUAUAUUUACCUUUAUAUCAUACCUAUAUAUUUCUUUUAUUUUAUAACCACACACAUUUUAUUUAACACAUUCAUAGUGUGAAUCAAUAAUAAUACGGUGAUGUAAUCUUUUAUGAAGUGAACAAGUCGACCAAUGAAGGUGUUGGAAAGAAGGACAGUGACGCUUAUCCGAUAAAAUGUAAAAUAUGAGACGGAUGUACCUUUCUCAUGGUUUAAAAAAAAAUUAAAAACAAAAAUUCAUUUGCUUUAAAGUAUUUAAUCCUUCAUAAAUACAGGUAUAGCACGUUUUUAUUUUAUGAACUUCUAUAUCUUAUGUCAAUAAAAAUUAUAGGUUCAGAUCAUAUGUAUGGAUUGAAAUAUUUAAAUACUUUUUCUGAAUGUUUUUCACUUGAGUCGCGUUGUCCAGUCCUAGGACAAUUUUUUCAGCAUGUGAGCAGUUUUAAUUCGCAGACAUCUCGAUCUGUGAUCAACACAGAUAUCUUUAUAUGCCACAUGCCACUUGCAGGGAUGAGAGAAAGGAGAAUAUACUCUGUGUGUGUGUGUAUGCGGACGUUUGAACGUGUGAGUGCACGUGUAUGUUGUGAACCUGACAAGGGGAGAUAAAUGAGUAGCUGUAGUCGUUGUAGUCUAACAAAGUCUUUCAUUGAGAACAGGCGACACGUGUGCAGUCAUCUGUUUAUUUGUAUUUAUAAUCAAUUACAAAAAUGAGGAGUGAGACAAAA